Pan troglodytes (chimpanzee) is the source of this 36280-nucleotide long non-coding RNA. RefSeq lists it as uncharacterized. The record is from RefSeq and is a predicted model, not a curated record. Lineage: Eukaryota; Metazoa; Chordata; Mammalia; Primates; Hominidae. The transcript is spliced from 2 exons.
GUCUCCGCCCGCGGCCCGGCCCCGGGGCCGUCGCCCAGUCCCCCGCCGCCGCUCCCCGACCCCGCGCUCACCCCUCACCCGGACACCCUCCCACCUGCAGCCGAGCCGGUGCCUCUGCUCUUCCCCUUCGCGACCACGCGCUCUGAUCCCACCAGCCCCGCCUGCAGGCCAAGGCCCCCGGGUUUCCAGGGCCCCAGGUUUCCAAACUCCGGCGCUCCUUGGCUGCUCGGAGGAAACUAACCUGCAGCCACUUCACCACGACCUCUUCUUCCUGGCCUCGUUUCUGUGGUUCGCGCCAAACAUUUGAUUCACCUUCUAAUUGGUCUCUCUCCCCACCGCCCAAUACAAGGACGUGAACAUUCUUGUUUUCUCAGCCAGCAUAGGGCCCAAAACAAAACAAAACAAACGAAGCAAACGAAUUCUCGAAAGUGGAAAAAUUAUAAUAUCGCAAUGGAAUUUGAAGCACAUUCCUGUAGCAGCUGUCAACAUUUUAACGUGGAUUUGGAAGAAAAUACUACAAUUUGAGGAUCUUUGAAUAUAAGAUGAGUCAUUGUUUUGAUAAAAUAUUUUUCCUUGAAUCUUCCCUAUCAAUCUGCCCAUCAGCCCACCCCCCAAAUACACCUAUUUCCAUGAUGUCUUAGUAUUUAACUUUUUAGACCGAUGUGUUGUUCACUUAUAAAGUGAAAUUAAAUUGACUAGAUCUUGGUUAAGGACGGGUUCCUUCCCCUCUUUCAUUCAUUAGUUCCUUCUUCAAAAGCAUCCACCUUGCAAUUGGUGCUGUCAAAAACGAUGGCUCGCUCAUUAAGAAAAAUAGAGGCCACCAGACUGGUUCCAUGGCAGGCAGAUUCAGAUGCCCUGAGAAGGCCCAGAUGAGCUGGGGUUGGGGAGAUGGGGAGGGAGGCAGAUGAUGAGACCAACUUAAAGCACACCUUGUCCCUCCUACACAAAGUAGUUUCCAGGUAGGAAGAUGGAAGAUUCUGUGAGUUCUCUAACUGUGCCUGCAUGUAUGGAAAAGUAUACAAGGAGGGUUGGGUACACAUCUCCUCCACAGACAUCUUGUGAAUGAAACAUGGCAAAGUGUAUGGCCAAAGAAGACUUUAUGUGAUUGUCCUAAAUACCAUAUUUAUUUUUAGCAAUUCACUAUAGGAACUGUCUCAGAGACAUCACUCGUUCACCCAGUCACUCAGACUUACUAAAUUCCCACCUUGUUCCAGGCUAGGUUACAAGCUGGGCACAGAAAGAUGAACAGGACUCAUUCCUACCUGCAAGGAGCCUAUCAUUUAAUACUGGGACAUAGACACGAACAUGGUUUGCAUUUGUCUCUUAAGUUUUUUCUUUCCCACCAGUGCCCUCCUAUAUUUAGUUGUGGGUGCAUUUUAGGUACAGGCUCCUUGGGGACAUGGAGACACAAAAGUGUAGCUAAAUAUGUAAGCUAGGAGCUCAGGGGAAAGUUCUGGGCCAGAAAUAUACAUUUGAGGGUCCUCGACACAGAUGAACAAGUUGAAAACAUGAGAGGAAUGGAAACCACUCAGGGAGCAUAUCUAGAAUGAAAGGAGCAAGGAUGUAAUUCCAGAGAAUUUGUGUCCAAAUGGUGAAUUUGGGAAGGGUCCAAGUUUAUAUUCAGAGAUGACUUAUCUGGUAAGACCAGAGGCACAAUAAAAAUUAUGCCCCUUGGUGUUACCAAGCAUUGGUUUCAAAGGAUGGAAUUGUCAAGUUCAAUCAUUUCUUCCAUCUAUGACUCAAGCAAGAUUUAAUUAUCGGCAAUAUAUCAAUAUCAUGUCAGACACCACGGUAUCUGCAUCAUAAAACAAAGCCCUGACAUCUGGGAACUCGUAAUUUAUUGGCCAAAAUAAAUCUAACCAGAAACAACUGAAAAAGUGUACAAGUUGCUGUAUGUGGUACGUGAUCACUAACAGUGCUACAGCAAGGCACUUAAGAGGGACCUAAGUGAAAACCAUGCGAUCAGGAAUGAAUUUAUGAAGAAAUUGAGGCAAAUAGGUCCAGUUGGUAGAAAUUGGAUAGGGAGAGGGGAUUCAAGGUACAACAUAUCGAACCAAAUGCUUUUGACUGAAAGUAAGGAGACAGAGGUAGAUAUCAAAGACAUCCACCUUGCAGACCCCAUAUGUGUGGAACGGACCAGGUUGUCCAGGAAGCUGAUAAAGUCUGAGCUUUAGGGCUGCACAUUUACCUUCAUAAUUUGGUAACAUUUUUCUUCAGGAGGGCUCCCGUGGUUGCAUAAGCUUCAGGCCGCACGCAGCCUGGCUCUGCUCCACCACUUUGCGGUAGCUCUUCCCAGGGCAAAUUGUAGUUCCUGUGUUUCCUUGCUUGCAUCUCCCUGGAGGCAGAGGGUUUCACUUCAUCAUCUUCAUAGCCACAUGAAGACAUGGUAUGGGAGUUCAGCUAGUGGUUAUUUCAGUCCAGUGACUACAGAGGUGUGACAAACUUGGGAAGUGUUGAAGAAUGCCAGGGGAUAUUCGUGCAGCCUUGGGUUGGGAUCAGGUCUGAUGGAUGAAGCAUGGGAGGGCCAUUCCCAGCUGCUGAGUGUAGAGCAGAAGUCAUGUGGGAAGAAAGUGAACCUCACUGGAGUGUGCAAAUGGAUAAAAGGAAGAGAGACCAAAGGCAGGGAACUGGCUGGAUGGCUGUUUAUCAAAGCCAGGGAGAGAGGAGAAGACACUCAACCCAAGCCUCAUCAUCCUGUAGCCCUUGUCACUGUUUGUGACUUUUGGACUCAGGUCACACAAAUCUUUCUGCUCAGUUAUGGGUGGCUAUGAAAAUCAGCUGCAUCCAUCUGUCCCCACUUUAUGACAGAAGUUCCAGGCCUUUACAUUUUUCCUCUUAAAAACACGUGGCUGCCUGUUGUCUGUGUGCCCAUCUCCAUUGCUGGUCCCUGAGCAUCCACCUUUGGCAUAUAAUGGGUCUCCUGUGGGAGCAGUGGUCUUAUUUCAUGCAGUCAUUGGUAGGCUGCUGGAACCAACAACCUCUUUCUCUCCUGCACCACUCUCUCAAUCCUGAUAGGCUUUCAUUUUGAUGUUUAAUAAGGAAAACAUGAAAAGCUCAAAGCCUCAAUCUUAGAACCAAUUGUCCAUAUAGCUCUACAGAAAAACAUAUACCGAGAAUUAACUAGAAACAUGGUGUUGAUUUAGCUUGAAAAGGGUUUAAAUGUGGUGUUGCUUGGAUCUUUGACUUGAGACAAUUAACAUGUCCUAAUAAUUCAGCAAGUCCGUUAUGGCAAGAUAAAAUGUUGAUCUGUGGAUAAUUUUUUUUUCUUGACACACAGUCUCAUGCUGUCACCCAGGCUGGAGUGCAGUGGCACAAUCUUGGCUCACCACAACCUCUGCCUCCUGAGUUCAAAUGAUUCUCAUGCCUCAGCCUCCCAAGUAGCUGGAAUUACAGGCAUGUACCACCAUGCCUUGCUAAUUUUUGUGUUUUUAGCAGAGAUGGGGUUUAGCCAUGUUGGGCAGGCUGGUCUCAAACUCCUGUCCUCAAAUGAUCCACCCGCCUCAGCCUCCCAAAGUGUUGGGUUUACAGGCGUGAGCCACCACACCUGGCCUGAUCUGUGAAUUCUUAAGCCAAGGCAAAGUGAACCAGUGCAUGGGAAGAGAGGGUGAUGCCUUUGCAAUGCUGUUCAUGACAAUGAUGUGGAUGUAGAUGGGUCUCUAUUAUGGACACUGACAUGGACAAGUUCGCUGCAGAUGGAAACAUCUGGUUACAGGAUUUCAGAGAACAAUUCAGGAAGCACUGAUGAUCCCAAGUAGUUUAUAAGAUCUAAGCAGACCAGCUGACUACUAAGAAUGAACGCCUUCAUAAUCGGCCUUUUAUCUGGGGUGGGACCUCCAGCUCCAGCCCAGGAGCCAGGUGAUGGAGAUCCUAGUCCAAGCUCUGUUUCGAGAGGAAUUUCAACUCUCAGAGUGCAGUGGCCUCCUUAUUACCAUAAGAGCAAUAGUGUCUCCUCCGUGCCCUCUCUGGCUGGACGCUGCCCUCUAAAUGGAUUUUAAAUGGUAAUACAGUCUUCAGAUGUGGAGAAUCAUUAUUACUAACCAUUUCCAUGCUCUAGCGGCACCAAAUGGGCCCUGCGUUGUAGUCGUACCUUGCCCAUCAAUUGAUGGUUUGUCCAUGGACGAGGUGCUUCACUUCGCUGAAUUAUGUUAUGCUAGACACCAUGUGUCCAGAUCAUAAAUCACAACCGUAAAGUCGGGGGGUGGGACUUUGGGUUUCCAAGGGCCCUCAGGCUCUGUAGGUCUAUCAUCACUGUAACCAGAUUCUGGAAAGGCUCAGCCUCGCUGACCACACUGGAUGGCAUUUCCUGUGGCACUCGGCCUGAUGUACUGGGGCCAGAGAGAGGCUCACACCUCUGCAAAGCUGGCCGCAGUUCCAGCCGAUGCUCCCUGACCCUCCAGCUGCCCUUCCUGUCUGUGUGCACAUCUCACAUGGAGGCCUUUCCAACACAGUAUAAAAAUUCCCAAUUUCCUUACACCUUUACAGGCGGACAGUCCCAGGGUCCUGAGACAUAACAUGGCCCAUUAGUAGAACGAGCCUUUCUCAGCCCCCAACAAUCAUCAUGAAAAGAACACCUAAGCUCUCCUUUUUCCUGCUGUUGUUCAGGGCUCAGCAGAAUGACACCUCCUUGCUUGGGGAAUUGCAUGAGUAUCUUCACUUUUAGAAAAUGUUCCUUAACCUAGUUUUAUGAAACUGUAAAUCCUCUGUUCUGAGAACUUCAGCUCAGAAAGAAGGUGCCACGGGUCUCACUGUCAAACAAGGAGAGACUGAAAUGUACUUCUGGGGAAAUGUAAAAUUCCAGGGCUUCCACUAUUUAUCUUUAAUAUGUGCUCAUAAGAAAGAAAACAGGAAUUGCCUGACAGACGUCCCAGGGGAGCUGCAGGCCCACGCUAUCCAGAUGACCUGGUUAACUGCAGAAAGCGUGGGCCAAGCAGAGCAGUAGGAAAAGCAUGCUGAUUUUAGGGUUUCACACACAAAGAAUUUCAGUGUGUAUGUUCCCCAGAGUUACGAUGGUCCACUUGGUAAGAAUGAUAAUAUCUGCAAAAGAGGGAGGAAGGUGAUCAGGCUCAGGAGAGUUUACUGAACUUAUUUGUUAUAAGUCUAAAAAAUUUCUGAAGACGGUUAAAGUUUAAGUAGACAGUGUCUACUUAAGACGAUUGGAAACUGUGAAAAUCCGGUGUGAUACUGUGCACAUAGAAGCUUGAUGCAUAUUCAUUAAAUGGCUGAACUAAUUCACAGUGGAUGAAACAGCGCCUUAUGGCCUGACAUACAAUCGAUUCCAUACAGUAGACAAUCCAAAACAGAAAAUGCAUUUGCAAGCUCUUCUAGGGAAAAUCCCUCCAUAGUGAAAGAACUUUAUUGUUACUUGCUUUUUAGGUGAGGGGCAAAUAAUAAGAUGAAGUAAGCUGUUACCAAGAAGCAGGACAAAAAAAAUGCCCUUCAAAAUUGAUUUUAAAAAUUGUAAAAAAGAAAAAUGACCUCUAAUCUCUGCUCCUCUAGCAAAGGAAGAGGUAAAAACCAGUGGGGUACGUAGACCUGCCCUCUUCCUCCAUCUGUUUUUCUCAUUCGCUGGUUUUUCUUUCACUGGUUUUCAUUCACUCCGGAAGCCAGAUUUGAGCUCCACAUCAGGGGUGGGCUUUGCUGGCCACCAUGGGAAUCCCAGCUUCGGAGUGUUGUUGCUGUUGCUGCUUAGCCAGAAUUUAAAUUGGAGUGGCUGAUGUUUCCAUGGAGCCUGUUGUCUUCAAUUUUUAUCAUUAAUAAUUGCAUCUUCAUGUGGAUUAAAUAACUCUUAGUAUUUGAUUGGGGCCGGGUGCAGUCACUCACGCCUAUAAUCCCAGCACUUUGGGAGGCCAAAGCAGGCGGAUCACUUGAGGUCAGGAGUUCCAGACCAGCCUGGCCAACAUGGUGAAACCUCAUUUCUACAAAAAACACCAAAAUUAGCCUGGCGUGGUGGCACGUACCUGUAAUCCCAGCUACUCAGGAAGCUGAGGCACGAGAAUCGCCUGAACCUGGGAUGUUGCAGUGAGCCAAGAUCAUGCCACUGCACUCCAGUCUGGGUAAUAGAGUGAGACUCUGUCUAAAUGUGUGUGUGUGUGUGAUUGGUUUAAAUUUAACCUCGAUGAUUAAUAUCAUUAAAACAUUAUCUUUUCAUGUGAAGAUUUCCAGAUUUUUCUAUUAAAUAUGAGGCAGUUUCCCUCUUGGUGGGACAUUCAAGAUUCUUCUCUCCCCAGCCAUACUCCUGCCUUUAGGUACCGUUUUCGGAGUUAAAUGCUAUUUUAAAACUUUGGACAAUGGUUGCAGGUUCUGUGGACAUAAAAACGUUUGAAUUCUGUCUUUCUGUGAGGUCUGGGAUGAGCACAGUGGCCACAUACUGACAGAAGGACAGAAUGACUUAGCACUGGGACCCAGUGGGUCUUGCAACGGGAGCACAGCAAACCUUCAGAAGGCCCUGCUGAGUUCCUAUCCUUUUUCCCCGUAAUGCCUCUGUUACACUUUUCAUCUCAAUUUUCUCUCAGAAGGGCCCAAUUUUACAAAAUUUACCUGUAUUCAUUUCUCAUUAAAGCAAACAGGCAGAAUACAAUUAGGAACUUUCGUAUGUAUUUACAAUUGGUCUUGAUGGUGAUAUUAUUUUUUAGAAAUGUGGUGUUAGUAAGAUCUUAAGCAUUAAAAGCUAAUAUGAUUUGCCAACCAAGUAUCCUGAUUUAUUAAAUAUAUUCAAGUAUGUUUUAAAGAGUAGCACAUUGCAGCCCUUCAAUAAACAUUUCUUUAAUUGAAUGAAAACAAAGGGCAAAAUUACUAACUUUAUAAACCUUUAACUUAGAAAGUGACCUGAAUUAGCCAACUCUGUUGUUCUAUCUAAUCUGCUAUAUUCUCAGAAUAAUUAUGUUCUAUCAAAGUAGAGAAAAAAAACAACAAAAAUACUCAUAAUCAAUGAAUCUAGCCAUGGUCCUUUUAGGACAUUUCUGUUCUCUGCUUAGAAACAAGAGACAUUUGCUGUGUACGUGUAAGGUUUGCCUUCCGUCAUUUCAAGACAAAGAUUAGGAAUAUAUUAUAAAUAUAACUACUUUCAUUUUAAAACUGAUUAUAAUGCUUUCAUCAUUUCCUAAAUUUUCAGGCUAUAGUAUACCUAAACUUAUGACCAUAUUAAAAAUUUGCUUGCCAUCAAAAAUAAUAAUGACUAGAAAUAAUUGUAAAAUAUUGAACAAAUACUCUUGAGACAAUAGUAUUAUAAUACUAAGAGGGGAUAAACCUCUUUGCUCCACUAUUUGAAAUGACGAUUAUUUCAAGUCCUAGUUCUGAAUAUUGUGAAGUAAAGAGAAGAAUUGAUUCUGUCUUUUAGGAGGAACUGAAGUUUACCUUGGAUAAUAAGGGAAAGCUUUUUAUUAUGAAAAAAUCCACACUCAUAUGUGUAGAAUAAAUGAUAGCUUUAGAAAAAUAAUCAUUUUUUAGCCUCCAAGUAAAUAAUAGAUUUUACAAGGAUUACCAGUGGAUUCUAAAACUCUUGUUGAUUGCAAGUGACAAAACCAUGCCUAUACAACAGAGAGAUUGAAGGAUCGCCAGUAGCCAGUUAAUCAAACUUAGCAUCUCAGUAGCAUGUCUGGUGGGAGACACCGUGGGCCACACAGAAACACCGUGGAGUGUCCUUGCUCAGCACGUCAUCUGAACUCCAUCACCUGAAUGUGACUAAGCCAUCAAACCAACGGUCACUUGCACCCAUUUGCUAGGAGAGUCCUGCUUUUUACCUGUUAUUUGGGUACAAUUAUUGGUAAGACUCCAUUCACUCUCAAAGUAUUCCAGUGUGGAUCAAGUAUAGGGUUAUUCUAUUUAUACCUAACUUCCAGGAUACAGGAAAUACAGGAGAUAGAAGAAUAAGUUAAGUGGUACCAUGAGGAAAGAAACAAUCAGUAAAUCCAGAAAGUGGAACAUCCCACAGAAUUGCCCUGCUGUCUUCCCAUUGUCAAUGUCUUGAAAAUGAGGGGGAAAGUGGGGCUGGGGCUGGUGUGAGGCUUUAUAGACUAUUUGAAACCCAAGGCACAUAGCAGCUAAAGUGCAGUGCAUGCACCUGGAUUGGGUCUUGGUUUGGAAUAACAAAAAAUAAAAGCUUGAAUAAUAGAUAUAUGGGAAUCAUUGAGGAGAGUUGAUUGUAGAUGUCAUUGGAGAAUUAUUAUUAUUUUGUGAAAUGGAUGUGAAAGGAAAAAAUUUUAUUUAUUAUUGACCUCUGUAGUGGUAAUUCCCUAACUGAUGCUUACACAUAACCAUAUUGAUUUAUAUACAUCCCCCAAAUGUUAUCCUGGGCAGGACAGCUGUCUCUGUCUUGGCUCUGCCAUUUUGGGGAAACCAAAAUAAGAUCAAGAUAAGAAACAAAUGACUGAGAAGAUGUAAGGAAAUGUCUUUUCCCAGUGACUGAUUGAGAAAAGAUGUGCAGGCCAGGUGCGGUGGCUCACGCCUAUAACCCCAGCACUUUAGGAGGCUUAGGCGGGCGGAUCAUGAGGUCAGGAGAUAGAGACCAUCCUGGCUAACACGGUGAAACCCCGUCUCUACAAAAAAUUAGCCGGGCGUGGUGGCGGGAGCCUGUAGUCCCGGCUACUUGGGAGGCUGAGGCAGGAGAAUGGCGUGAACCCGGGAGGCGGAGCUUGCAGUGAGCCGAGAUUGUGCCACUGCACUCCAGCCUGGGCAACAGAGCGAGACUCCGUCUCAAAAAAAAAAAAAAAAAAGAAAAGAAAAGAAAAAAAAGAAAAGAUGUGCAAAUGCAUUCUAGCUACAAAAUCUUCCUGUGUUGAAUUCAGAGACUUUUCAUGAGCAAAGACUUCAGAUGAGCAUUGAGAAAAGAAAAGCUUUUUAAAAACCCAACCAUAGUGCAUAUUAUAACUGCAGUUCUAAUCCACAGAACAGUCUGAGGAGGUAUGGAGGGUGGAGAGGACUGUAAGGUGGUAUUCUUUUUGACCUCAUCUGUAUACCAAGGUCACUGCCAGUAAGAAUGUCUUCAGGGGUAGGAGAGUGAUGAACAAAUUAGACUCAGGCCACUACAUUAAGUUGCGAGCCUUGACUUUUUUUUUGAGAUGGAGUUUUUCUCUUGUUGCCCAGGCUGGAUCUUGCAGUAGCGCGAUCUUGGCUUACUGCAGCCUCCACCUCCCGAGUUCAAGCGAUUCUUCUGCCUCAGCCUCCCGAGUAGCUGGAAUUACAGCACCCACCACCACGUCUGCUGGUUUUUUUGUUUGUUUGUUUGUUUGUUUUUGUAUUUUUAGUAGAGACGGGGUUUCACCAUGUUGGCCAGGCUGAUCUUGAAUUCCUGACCUCAGGUGAUCUGCCCACCUCAGCCUCCCAAAUUGCUGGGACUACAGGUAUGAGCCACCGCGCCCAGCCCUUGACCCAUUUUUAUGCCAGUCACAGGUGAUGUGCUAUAAAGACCUGCGUGUAGCUCCCGUCACUCACGCUGGGCACCACGACGGUGGAUGAGGGUCUCAGCAGCAAAGUCAUUGCUAGAAAGGAAAACCCUUGCAGACAGCUUGAUGGCCAACUGACUAAACAGAGCAGGAAAUGUUAGGGAAUUUCCAGGAGGAAGAACACAGAAAAGUAGAGAAGAGAGAAAGGGAAGGAAAAAGAUGUUUGCAAGUUUCCCUCCAGAGGUGAUGCUUGUUCUAGUCUCUUCAGAGCCACCUCCAGAAAAGUCAGUUCAGGUCCCUGAAGAUGACAGGAGCCAUUGCCAGGAAGAGUGGGGUAGGUAGAUGCAGAAAAUUCACUCCCUUUUUUGACAUUAAAGUGACAGCCCUGUUUUGACAGAGCCCUGAAAUAAGCCCAUGUCACAUAAGGUUUUCUUUUAUAAUAGAGUAUCUAUAUAAUUUGAAUAUUUUUCUAUAAUAGGAUUGUGUGCAGCACGAAACAAUAGGCACAUUCAUGUUUAUUCAUGAACAGUCCUGUGGGUCUUUCUCAUCAGUACUGUAAGUUCCUAUUCAAGAAAGUUUUACUUACGCCCAACUAUUGAUAAAAUUAAACGAUAAAGUCAUCCCUUCACUUAAGACCUGCCUUUUAAAGUAUGAUUGUGUCAGGGAGACAUCAAUUCUCAGGGAAUCUAAUUGUUUCAAAACUAGUGGUUUUUUUGUGUGGGUGAAUGAGAAAAUAUUCCUGUCAGUGUGUGAGUUAUUGAGUGUGUGAAUGUGUGUGAGAGUGUGGGUUGUGUGAGAUACAUGUGUAUGUGAGUGUAUGAGUGUGUGAGUGAAUGUGUGUGUUUGAUGAGUGUGUGAAGGAAUGUGUGUGUAAGUGACCUUGUGAGUGUGUAAUGAGUGUGUGUGAGGGUGUGCGAGUGUAUGAGUGAGCAUGUGUGUAGUGUGUGUAAUGAGUGUGUGCGUGCAUGCAUGGGCAUGUGAGUGUGUGAGUACAAGUGAGAGUGUGAGUGUAGGGGUGUGUGAUGAGUGUGAGCAUGUGAGUGUGGGGUAUUGUAUGAGUGUGUGUGAGCAUCUGUGUGUGAGUCUGGGUGUUUAUGAGUGUGUGAUGAGUAUGUGAGCGUGUGUGAGUGUGGGAGGGAGUGCAUAAGUGUGAUGAGUGUGUAUGUGAGUGUGAGCAGGUGUGAGUGUGGGAGGGAGUGUAUGAUUGUGUGAUGAGUGUGUGUGAGCGUGAGUGCAUGAGUGUGGGAGGGAGUGUAUGAGUGUGCAGUGAGUGUGUGUGAGUGAGUGUGAGCGUGUGUGUGUGUGUGUAUGCCUGCGUAGAACCAUGUUGCAUCACAAUAAACAGGAGGCUGGAGCAUGCAGUCAAACGGCUCGACUUUUGAAUCCUGUCUCUCUUUGCUUGCUACUAGCUUUGAGACUGGACUGGCAUUAAUUUUUGUGAGGCUGGUUUUAGGGCUGUAAAAGAAACAUAAUACCUAUUUUACAGAAUUUUUGUGAAGAUUAAACCAGAUAAUUUGGGUGAAGUGCCAAUCCCAGUACCUGGCCCAUUAUAAGCAUCUAACAAAUGCAAGUUACUGUCACUGUGUGCACAUCUCCUUGUCCUCCGAUGAAUUUUGAUGCAGAAAUCUUUGUAAGAUGGUCUGUAUUCAUUUUGAAUAUCAGAGAACUACAAGCCGAAGGCAAAGUGGCAAUGCCAGCCCCUGUGUGUUUAUCUAAGUGCCACCACUUGGCCAAGGCACUCCAUAAGGUCACAGCGACAGGGCUUUGUGGGGAGACCCCCAGCGGUGCAGCAGAGGCCAGUGUGAGCCCCGAUCGCUUGCUCUGCUGUGAGUCUUGUCAUGGAAAGCUGGGGGUGUGGAGAGCACAGGUUGUGUCAGGUGGGAUUGCAGGGAGAUUUCAGGGAGCGCACUGUCAGGUGUGCAGUUGCACCCCACGCCCCCCAGCCCCGGGUCUCAGGCGGCAGGGAGAGGACUCGCAGGCUCUCCCACUGUCCAGAAUGCCCUCUGCUUGGCAAAACAACUUCUGCUAAUAAGAGCUUGCAUUAUGUAUUUUUUUUUCUGAUGACAGGAUUUUGGAAUCUGUAAAUGGAAUUUUAUCUUCAUCAUAUUGAAUUAUUUCUUUUCUUAUAAGGCCGAGGACUUCUUACAAUUAAGAUACAAAAAGAAAAAUAAAAAGAAUGGGAGCAGAUAGAGAGAAGGUUUGUGGUAGUUUGGCUCAUGCAUUUGGUAAUAAUUCUCAGCCCGAACCUCAGUGCCUUUGGUGAUUAACUUCCACAUAAAGCCCAGUUUCAAUGCUUGGCCUGAGACAGUCUUCAGAGUCUGUUGUAUGAAACGGUGUGAAGGCUUCAUUUCUGUCUCUUCAUACACAUUGUGUUAUUUUUGAGCAUUUGAAUCUGCAUUAUGAAAUGGAGAGCUAAUUCUUAAGGGGACUGAAGGGAACUGAGAACAGCCACCCCCCACCCCAGCACCACUGUGCCUGCCGGCCUUGACCCCACCAGACAGGAAAAGCUGGGAGACAUUUCACUCCAUAAGAGUCCCAGCAGAGAAAAUAGAAGAAACACUUAAAACCUCUAAGUAUGUAUUUGUCAGUAAAAUCUAUUGAAUACUGGAUGCCACAACAAUCACCUACAAACCUUUUAACCGUGUUAGGUCGGAUAGGGGUGUUGGACAUCCCAUUGGAAAUGGGGUGAGUCUUUGGGUACUGGAGUCUGGACUUGAAGAGAGGACUGGGCUGGAGACAUAACCUGGGUGUGGUCAGCGUCGGGACCGCAUUCAAGGCACAGCAGUGGAGGAGUCACCCAGGACUGAACCCGGCGGAAUCUGGGGCAAGGAGAGGAACCCUGCAGCGGAGACUGGGGAGACUGGAAAGAAAAAAAGGUGCCAGUCAAACAGAGUGGCAUCCUGGAGACAAACAAAAGCAUUAGAAGGAGAGAGUGAGCCAGGGAACCAAGUGCCCUGAGAAGAGAAGCCCGGAGAGACCCGAGGUGACUAGCAGCUUUGGCUACCCCGGGCCCUCUGGCGGCGACAGAGCACCUGCCCAGGGCGGUGGCGUUGACGCUGAUCAACUUUGUUCCUUCCCGCUCCCUUACAGGAGACGCUCUGGCCCUCUGCAGCCUGCGUCCUGCUCCAUCCAGAGGACAUGGUUAGCGAUGGCCUUCUGCUCGACGGUGAUUCAUCUUAGGGAUGAAAACCCGGCCUGGUUGGUAGUUGUUUGCACAAGUUUCACAUUUGCCUUUGGUAGAUGAGGGCAAGUGGGUCAGGGGAGAACAUUGCAGGCCCGAGAAGCAGCAGGUGUGGGAAUGCAGGUGCAUGACUGAGUGUGCCUCCUUCUAGACACUGAAGAUCCACGACGUCGGGCAGGAGCCAUGACCGGCAGGCAGGCCGGGCUGCGUGCGGGGGCCUGAUGCAGGACCAGCCGAUCGAUUCCAUCUGCCACAGCAGAACAUCAUCAUGGUUUCACAGCCGAUGCUGAGAGUCUUGUAUGUGUGUUGCACAGAGCUGACUUCGGACCCCAAGGCAAGUAGACAGUCAGGAUUAUGUGGGUUUCAAGGAAGUCCCUAAAAAUGUGUAUCAUUGGAGUGUGAUUACAGAGAUUCUUCUCACGCUGUCCCUACAAGCUAGCAAAGCCCAAGAAACGCUUUUCCUAAACAGUAAGUUUGAACUGGGAAAGGAACGUCAAGCUGACCUGGCCGGAGACUCUUGGUAAGGCAGCACGAGCCACUGCAGAGCUGGGAGGGUGAAGGCCAUGGAGCUGUGAGACUGCGCUGAUCUUUGUCCUUCCCUAGAAAUGAGCCGUGUCUCAUAAGCCAGGGGGCAGCUUGUGACAUCAAAAGACCCAGCAGUGUCACUUCAGGUGUCUCAGAAAGUGUGAACAGAAAUCGGGGAGGUUGGAAAACACAGGGGCAUUUACCAUGGAAAAUAAACAUUAAAAUAAGUCAGAGGACUGUGGCAGCACUGUUCACAAUAGCCAAGAUGCAGAGACAACCCAAAUGUCCAUCAACAAGUAGAUAAAGAAAUUGUGGCAUAUUUACAUGCCAAGGACUGUGGUUCAGCCUUAAGAAGAAGGACAUUCUGCAAUAUGUGGCAGCAUAGGUGAACCUGGAGGACACAGAAAGACAAAUUCUGUGUGAUCUCACUGGUGUGAUAAAUCUAAAACAGUCAGAUUCAUAGAAUCAAAAAACCUCAAGCUGUCCUCCCACCUUGCCCUUCCAGCGCUUCGGGAGGCCAAGGUGGGAGGAUAGCUUGAGAAGAGGAGUUUGAGACCAGCCUGGACAACAUAGUGAGACCCCCAUCUCUGCAAAAAUUGUUUUAAAAAUUAGCUGGGCAUGGUGGUAUGCACCUGUAGUUUCAGCUACUUAGGAAGCUGAGGCAGGAGGAUUGCUUGAGCCCAGGAGUUGGUUGCUGGGGUUAAGGGGUGGGAGAUAUAAGGAGUUACUGAUCAAUAGGCAUAAAAUUUCAGUUAUGCAAGAGUAAGCUCCGCAGGCCUGCUGUACAACUGUGCAGGUAUAGUCAGCGGUAAUGCAUUGUAUUCUUAAAAUGUUAAGAGGGUAGAUCACACAUUAAGUACUCUCGUCAAUCAAAUAAAAACGUUAGGAAAAGUUGUAAAUGCUAGUAGCGUGCAAGACACAUCACAGGACACAGUGUGCUCAAUCCACACACUUUCCAGCCAAGAAUGACCCCACGUGACCUUCUUGGGACGUGAGAAAAGCAGGCCUCCACAGUGAAUGACAGCAAGAACUCCCACGGGCAGAGACGGCUGACGGGGUCUCAACACAGCCCAUUAGGAAUCAUCCCCAGAGCCAUCUGAUAAACCGUCCAGUGUCAGAAUGAGCCAUGUCUCUGGGCAACUUACCCCUGCCCACUGCCGAGAAGAUAAGAAUUCACCCCUGCCGCACAUAGAAUUUAUUGCUUUUAAUGACAAAGUGCUAUGGAUGCUGCUUAUUGGCUUAUUACAAUUUUAUAUUUAUCCAAACUCUCUUACAUUAACUCAGGAACGAUCUAAAAAGAGACUUCCUCCUCCAGAGAAGUGUGCAAACAGAGCACCGCUGUUUUCAGGGCAUAUUCCAUGUAGUAGUCAGAAAUCUUUUCUGACGUGUAUUUCCUUUCUACCUCCUCUCUUUCUCCUGAAUCUUAUUGAGCAUGAAACUAGAGAAAACACCUAUAAAUAUAAUUAUGAAAAUCAAUAUUGUGCUUCCAACAUUGCAUGAAUACGAUGCCUUCCUUACUUCUUCCACAUUAACAAUGUGGUAAUAAAAGUACUGACAGAGCGACCCUGGAAAUUAGCUUGCAUAUCUUCAGAGCGUGCCUUCCUCUUUGCCAGUAGAUUAUACAGUUUGAAAAUCGACAGUUCCCCAAAUGUGGCCUUUCUCUUUCUCUUCCUCUCCCUCACUCUCCACACCAUCCCGUCUCUUUCUUAUCCACAAACAUGAACAAUUUGAUUCUCAGUUUAAAUUACCAGGGUCAAACUAUCAAUAUUAUAGUGACCAUGAGUAAACCGUAUAUAUUUUUUCCAUAUAUGCAAAAAAAAGUGCCUGAGAACCUAAAGGAGAAAAGUAAGAUAAAGCAUGUCUUUGGCAAGUAAUAAAAGAACUGAGAGUUAACAUUUUCAACGACUGAAAGGAAAGGCAAACUCUAGUGACCGCACGGUGUUUGUUAUCAUGGGAAUUCAUUCUGGUGUGGGAAAACCCAUUCUUCUGGAUGUUGCUGGAUUAACAUAUUCCAGAGAACAAUCCAUGCAAUUAGUAUUUGCUGUUUUCUUAUGUAAUUAUUAUUUUAACCAAAGUAAUAUAUCUUGAUUAAAAUCACUAGUGGCCAGGAAUAAAAUAAUAUAUAAAAUAAUAUAAACUUUUUCAUUGUACAUUCAGGCCCCCAGGACAAUUAACAAAUUUAUUCAUGUAUAGGCUUCACAGAUGGUUUUAAGGCUAAAUGUGAGUUAAAAUUAUGCUUGAUGAAUUGAUCAAAAGUGCUCCCAUAUUAAAAUAGUCCCUAAGUUUGGCCAUCUCUGGCAAAGUUUAAGACUUGUGAAGUUCUAAUAUGUUUGUACAAAUCUGACUACAUUUUUAUUUACUGGAGGAUUAUUAUGAAACAGAAUGUGUUGAACAAAUUCUAUAUUUUAAAUUUAAAUGUAAAAAAAUUAUUAACUUCUGCCUGUAGUGGUCCACCAGCAUUUGUCUGUGAUGUGGUACUUGGCACUGCCUCAACCCUGAACUCCAGACCCUACAGUCUCAGUGUCUGUGUCAGGGUCAUUUCCACAUGGCCAUCUUCACCUCCAGCCCCCGCAGAGGAUGCUCUGCCCCUCCCUCGGCCUCCUUCCACUCAGCCAGAAGAGCAGCCUUGUGGCCACCACCAGGAGCUGUCCCAUCAUUGCCUUUUCCACCACCUCCCUCCCUCUUCCAGCCUCCUCUCCUGGGGAUGGUGCACACACUGGGGGUGGUGCACGCACUUGGCUUCCAUUUGUCCUGCUUGUCUCCACUGAAUACCUAAGGCAUCUACCUUAGGUUUUCUCCCUCAUUCAAACUUGCAAAAAUGGCCGCAUACAAAGUAACAGUCUAAAUGAUAGAUUAUGGAAUAGAAAAUAAAACUUUUAAAUAACCAUCCUGCUUUAAUUUGGAAAAACUGACUUAUUUCUUCUAGAAUUAGCAGUAGUUCUGAAUUCUUUCUUCAAGGCUGAGGACAGGAUAAUGAGAUGAAUUUCAGGAUUGUUAGAUUAAAUAUCCCCUGAAAGCUAACAGAAGCUGAGAAAAUAGAAUACCUACUUAGGAAAGAAGUAUACUCUUUUUUUUUUCUUUUUCUUUUCUUUUCUUUUUUUUUUUUGAGACAGAGUUUCCUUCUUGUUGCUCAGGCUGGAGUGCAAUGGUGUGAUCUCGGCUCAUGGCAAACCUCUGCCUCCUGGGUUCAAGCGAUUAUCCUGCCUCAGCCUCCCAAGUAGCUGGGAUUACAGGUGCUCACCACCAUGCCCAGCUAAUUUUGUAUUUUUAGUAGAGAUGAGGUUUCUCCAUGUUGGUCAGGGUGGCCUCCAACUCCCGACCUCAGGUGAUCUGCCCGCCUCGGCCUCCCAAAGUGCUGGGAUUAUAGGUGUGAGCCACCGCACCUGGCCAGAAGUAUACUCUUGAAAGGGUUACGUAACCUCACCACACAAAGGUUACAUUUUAUUCUACACAUAAUAUAUGUAGAUAUAUGCUAUACAUGUUGCAUGUGGCCACCAAAACAUGGAAUAAUCCAUAGUUAUAACCUGCAUUUUCAGUUAAUAUAGCAAGGAUGGCUUUCCAUCUUAGUAAAGACAGAUUGUGUAAUAUUAAUAAAUACAGAUUUAAAUGAAUGUCUAUACAUCACACUCUCAUUGAGGAACAUGAAGGUGGUCUCUUAUUUAUGCUAGAUUGUGCUAUAAUAUAGCAAACAAGUUAUAGAACUUCUGGGUCAAGAAGUGUUGAAAGAGCUUUUAAAAUAUUUAUUCCUAUGGUUUCAGAUCAGAAAACUGAUUCUCAGAUGAUUUUAGUCCUGAUCUCUAAUGUUCCAGAUUGACUUCGCAGUGGAGCGGAUGGUAAACUAUUAGCCGCUCUUCUGAUUAAUAAACCUUCUCUCCAAAUAGGAUACCUGCAGGUUGCCUGGCACACAGGAUAAGUUCAAUGAGUUUUAUUGAAUGGAUGAAUUACUGAAUAAGAAAAAAAUGAUGGUUAAAGGUAGUUAGAUAACUAACAUUGCUGAGUAAUCACUCCUACGAAGUAGCAUUCUGUAAAACUCUAAUUCUGUAUGUCUCCUAAUACUGUUACAGACAGCUAUGCUUGUCUCUUAUUUGGGGGACUUUUUAUGGCUUCUGGCAUAAAGGAGAGAUGGUGAAAAUGAUGCUCUGUCCCCAUCCAAUUGCUUAUCCAUCCCUUCCAUCAUUUAUUCAUGCCUUCAGUAAUUUGGGUGCAGUUUCUACAUGCUCACCAGGCCAGAGCACCGGGACCGGCCCUCACCCGGGCUGGAACACCAUCAUCACGAGUAUCCAAUCCCUAGUUCUUCAUGCUGGAAAACAUUAUCAUUUCAUUUCUUGUAAAGCAUUCACUAUUCAUUAACACUCAGGAACUUGUGGGUCUUUUGUCUCUAGAAAUUCUCUUGUUUUUAUAUGGGUUUUUUUAAUGGCUGUUUAUCAGUAACUUCAUGAUCAUUUUAACCUAUAGUACUUCUACUUGGGGAAUUUAUUAAAUUUUAUCUCGCUUCUUUAAGAGAGAGCUUACAUUUUAUUCACGUUUGUAAUUUUUAUGCCAUCAACUGUGAGGUCUUAUUCAUUAAAUUGAAUUUGAAAAUACCCACUGAGAAUAAUUUGCCGCUAAAGAAUAUAUUUAAUUACUCACUUAUACUUUCUAGAAUGAAGCAAAGAAAUGUUAAUAAACACUAAUUUAAACUAUAGAAUAAUUACUAAUAUAGUUGCCAUUAUUGUUAUAUGUGAAGAUUUGAAAUUAGCAACCUAAUUUUAAAUAAGAAAAUCAUUAGUACCUAUCAAAAAAUAUUCAAAAAGGAAAGAUAUCUAUAAAUGUCCAGUUUUAUAAUCAAGUUUUUAUGACUCACAAGUUCAUCCAUUUAGAGUUGCUCUAGUAUUCUCAUUUCAGGAAUAGAGAAGUUCCUCCAUCUCUUUUUUUCUGAUAACAAGAACUCUGAUAUCAGUUUCAUAGGACAUCGUGGAAAUCAGGGAACACCAAGCUGAAGUGCCAUGUGGUGAGAUUCAUCAGCCUCAUUAAUGCAAAACAGCCCAUGUGUCAUCUUUGUAUUCUAAAAGCUGCAGGAAGAUGACCUCCCAGUUUUCCCAUAAACAGUCAUGUGGAAAAUGAGUCUUCUUUCUGUGAAGGAGAAAUGCUUCUUUACCCCUCACAGGUACAUUUAAAUUAUUUUGAUACUAACCCAAGUUAAGUUUACUUUAUCUUCAAAAUGAGUUAGUGAUGUCUUGGAAAAGAAUGUUGGUGUGUCCACAAACUGAAUUUGCAUUUGCUAAUUACUCUUUUCAUACAGCGCUUAGUGGGUUUAAAAGCACAGCCAACCCUGUGCUAUGCCAGGUCUCCCUCCACCUGGGGUCACCCCUCCUUUGAACUUCUGGGACACUCACAGUGUACACUGUCUGAUUUAGACUGUAUCAGGGGCUUUUCUCUAUGUGUGAAAUUGUCAGUCCCAUCAGAUGUGCACUCUGUUAAAUGCUGAGAUUAGGUCUUAAAUAAUCUGUUUCCUCCAUGCAGCAGACUCAAUAAAUCGAUUACGUAGCUAAAACGUUAUUCUGGAAUACAUCGUUCAGGUCUGUAUUUUAGGAAGUCGCAACUCAUUGUGAAUAUUGUUGAAUGACAUUAAUGAGGAAUAUGGUGACCGCUAAUUUGAGUUACUAAAGCAGUUUCAAAACAAAUUACGGAAGUAUAAACAUUUGAAUGAGAAACCCAUUAUUUUAAAGAUACUUGUUCUGAACUCUAUCACAGGCCUUCAAACCUGUUUGCACAUUGGAAUCACCUUGUUGAAAUACAGAAUCUGGGUUGAGGUGUGUGAAAAUAUGAUUAAGAAUCCAUUUCUGAAAGUUCCCAGGCGAUGCUAACAUGCAGCUCCAUUUGGGAACCACUGACUAGAAGUCUCACUUCAUCCUUAAUUCUCUUUUAUCCCCCUAAUAAAAAGAACUGUUUUUGGAAGACAUCUGAAUUACUUUGAUUUAGCAUCAGGACUAUUUUACAAGGUGCAGAAAUUUGAUAAAAGGCUAUUAUUUUUUCAUAGGACAAUGGAUUUAGAGGCUGUUAAAUUUUGAUAAUGACAAGUGGAUACGAAUUUGGUUUAACACAUAAAAGCAUAACAAUAACAACAACAAUAAUAGUAUUUUCUUAGCACUGAGACUUUUUCGGUUAAGUCUAAUUGUCUUUCUGAGGAUAUCUAUGAUGCUAAUCAAGCACCCUCUUGAGUUAAAAUCUAAGCUUUAUUUUACCAGCCAGAUAAAACUAUUGACUCAAAGAGCAUUCAGAUAUUAGUCCCUGCUUUUUCAGAAAUUCCGUCCAUAGUCUAGAAAAGGAGUAUAUGGGGGAAAAUGAGAAUAACUACUAGUAUUUACUGAGUAGCUAGAACGUGUCAAGCAUUAGGUUAGGCGCUUCAUGUGAAUAAUCUGUCUCCAACGAUCACAGCAACACCAGGAGGCAAGGACCCUAAGUCCGUUUUCUAGAUCAGGAGACUGAGGCUCUUCGAGGUGCACACCUUGUCCAGUGCCCUGUGACUUGUAAAAGGCAAAGCAGUGAUGAAAGAAUUCAUGUCUUUGAGACUCCCAAGAAAUUCUCCCACAGAGUUUUAAUUCUCCAAUCCAUGAUGAUCUAUCCUUCUUUUAGCUCUAGGACCUUACGAUAGAAGAGAACCUUUGACACUUUGCGGGAUAAAGGACAGCAUUGGUUCCUGGUCUUCUCUGUGAAAACCAGUUCCCCAGGAGCUCUCUCAGUACUGAAAAGUCUCAGCCCCAACUCCCCCUUACCAUUCUGAUCCUGUCUUAAUGGAACUGGACCAACUAAGUGAUUCCAUCCCCACAGUAGCCUCCACCUGUCUUCAUCCCAGCUUGAAUAUACAGUUUCCCAUGCAAACCCUAUUACGGAUGCCACUGAAUUCCAUCUAGCUUGUCUCAGUGUCUCUGGCUGUCCCAAUACCCAUAGUUUUCCCACCCUCUGACCAGCGAAUGUGACCUGCAUGGAAAAGGAGUAAAUAAAAGCAAAAGUGAUCAGAGAUGCCGGCUGUCCAUCAGAAGGGUGCUGUUUGGAUGAUAAUUUUUGAGUGCGCAUUUAAAUAAGCAAUUUGGCAUUACUUGCUAUUCUUUACAUUUAACUGCUCUUAAAAUAGAAACAAUAUGAGUAGUCUGUUAUUCUACCUUCUACCAUAUUCAAGUUUUGAAAUGUAACAUUCAAAUUUCUUCAGUUGUCCUAAGGUCCCUUAGUAGAAAGAGGGCUAAGCUAAGCAAACAAUCAGGACGUUAGUCAGAAACGUGGAAAGGACCAGGUAAAUACCAAGGAGGUGCUCAUGGGAGGCGAUGGUUGAGGUUAGGAUGGCUGAAGUGGGUGGAUGCUACACGUCCAGUGAGUUAAAGGCAAACACCUUUUCUUUUUCUUUUCUUUUUUUUUUUUGAGAUGGAGUCUCGCAUUGUUGUUGCCUGGGCUGGUGUGUGGUGGUGUCAUCUUGGUUCACUGCAACCUCCCCGCCUCCCAGGUUCAAGCGAUUCUCCUGCCUCAGCCUCCCGAGUAGCUGGGACUACAGGUGCAUGCAACAACGCCCAGCUAAUUUUUUUAUUUUUAGUAGAGACAGGGUUUCACCAUGAUGGCCAGGCUGGUCUUGAACUCCUGAUCUCGUGAUCCACCUGCCUUGGCCUCCCAAAGUGCUGAGAUUACAUGCACGAGCCACCGCGCCCGGCCAAGGCAGACAACUUUUCAUAGCCGCUUCUCACUUUCUUCUUGAACACCAGUCCAUUUAUUUCUCAAACCUAGGUUACUCCUGGCUUUCAAGCUACCUUGCACUAGGAACGCGGCAAGUCACGUAACCUCACUUGUUCUAGUUUCCUCUUCUCUGGGAUGAAUGGUGUUGACAUAGAUGGGCUCUAUCGCUUGUUCCUAGAUCUCAGUCUUUGUCACAGUUCUUACACAGGGCUAGUAACGGCUGGUAAGGGUUUGUAAAGGACUCAUUCUGUGAUACCUUUGCUCUGAAUGUGAGAUUUCUCUAAACUGAUGAUAUUACAGGUGUUGAUGUUUUCAUUCUAUGUUUGUGACUCGUUUCCUUUCAUAAGAAAACAUCCUGUCUUCUGUGAACAAUGUCCACCACUACUUUAAGAAAAACGGAAUCAUCAAAUAGAUAAAAGUUCCCAAUCUCAAGAAGUGGCCUCUUUUUAAGUGUACUCAUUUCUGUUUCUUAAUUUUAUUCAUUCCUUCUAUAGAAAUGGUAUGAAUGGGUAAAAACAUGCCACCUUACAUGCUACAGUGGGGGAUAAAAAUCUAAAAGACCUGGUCCUAACCUUUAAAAGACUGUAUCUUAGUAGAACUGAUAAGACACAUGUGCCAAAAAUAUGACUAAAAUGAUGACUGUAAUCGUCAUUCGUAUUCUGUAACAGCUAGCUGGCUGUGCAACUUGACAAGUGUGAUGAGGUGCCCUCUGUUAUUACUUUAGCAGCCCCUAGUAAGGGGCUUCAGGCAUAGCAUCUACUCAAUAAACACUUAUGAACUGAGUAAAAUAUUUUCAACACUAUUUUAGAUGGCUAAGUAGCCAAAAAAUGUUACUGCCUUCACAGACCACAUAAUUCUACAGAGUAUGUGAGUCACAUACUCAUGAAUUUAUAAGCGAGGAAGUGUAUGUAGAGCAUCAGAGAGGACCACAAAGCAAGUGUUAGGAAGCCGUGGUCAUGUGAAAACACCACACAAACAUCUGUAUUUGUGCAUAGGUGGCUUUUCUUCUUUCCUUCAUACGCAGCAGCAUUUAAAAAAUCACACAUGGUUCCCAUACAGAAAUGGAACUGGAGUUUUGAAAUCCGAUUGUACAAUUUCCUGCUCCCCACAUCCCGUACCCAUUAAGUCACCAUGCAUCUGCAAGGGCUUGUCUGCUGGAUGGGUAAGUACGUCCCUGGGUACACAAUAAGACGUAGUUCUUGAUGUUCUUUGGAAUAGGCAUCUUAGUUUUAGAAUUAGUUUAUGAUGAAUACUACGUUAUACAUGGACCCAGGGGAAAUACGACAGAUUGUGUUAACAGAGUUCCAAGUUCCAGAGGAAAUGUCAGGGGAGGGUUGGAUUAUUGAGUCCAAUGUUCAUUUCUGAAGGUCAAAUGAAAAAUAGUGAAACCACACUGAUCUCUAACUCUGGAUGUAGCCCUCAUACACAUCAGAACUGCCGUGCACUCAGCCGAUUUUGUAGGCAGUUGGUGAUACAGGUAAUCAGGUUUCCCACGCCUUGGCCCUGCUGUGGACUCUGACGAGGUUUGAGAGUGAUUUACGGUGAAGAUGGCCCAAUAAAUGCCUGUAAACUGAAGUAAGGGAGGAGACUCGUCUACAGCAAUGCCUGUGAGCAGACUUAAAUCAGCAAUUCUAUUUCUCUGAAGCAAUAAAUCAAAUUCCUGAGGAGGAUGACAGUAAAAUCCCAGAGGACAAUUAACUUGUCAGCAGUUCACAUGACUUCGUCCUUUUACUGAGCUACACGCUAACUUUGUGAUUAGAUUUUGAACUAUUAAGAAACUUUUGAUUUAAGGAAUUCAAGGUGAACAUACUUUAAUUAGAACUUCCAGAUUACACUUAGGCAGUAAAUCAACUACAUUCAUUCUCAUAUUCUUGGGUACUUUUCCCUUCUUUGGACUUUUUUACCUUACUAUCUGGGUCAUUGUCUUACUUUGCUGUUGCUGAUGUCACAACCAAAAAUGUUGUAACCUAAAACAAUGUAAAUUCAUUAUUUUACAGUUCUCUAAGUUAGAAGAACAACACAAGUCUCACUGGGCUAACCUCGAGGUAUCGGCAGGGCUGGCUCCUGGAGGCUUCAGGGAAGCAUCCAUCUCCCCACUUCUCCAGCUUCUUGAGGCCGUCCGCACUCCUGGGCUUGUGGUCCUGCUCCAUCUUCCAAGCCAGCAACAGCAGAUUGAGUUCCUCUCACUUAGCAUCACCCUGAACUUCCUCUACUGUAGACAAGUCUUCCUCUUCCUCCCUCUGCUGUCUCCACCUUUGUGAUUACCUUGGGCCCCCAAGAUCAUCCAGGGCAGCCUCCCAUCUCUAGAUCCCUAAGUGAAUCAAUCACAUCUGCAAAGUCUCUUUUGCCACGUGAGGUAACCUAGUCAUAGGUUCCAGAGAUUUGGAUGUGAACAUUUUUGUUGGGGCAUCAUUCUGCCCAACCACAAGCAUGUACCCGGCACUCACCACAUGUGGCAGUUAGUUGGUGUGUACUUUCUCUACCUGUAAAUCCCUGGAUGGAGAACAUGAUUUUUUCUCUCUACAUCUCUUUGCAUUUCAUCUGGUUCACUUAACCUGAUCCCCAGUGUCUUAGUCUGUACAGUGUGGCCGUAACAGAAUACCUGAGAUGGGGUAUUUAUUUAAAAAAAAAAUAAUAGGUGGGUUUAAGUCACAGUUCUGCAGUCUGGGCAGCUCAAGGCCAUGGCCCUUGGUUCUGGCAAGGCAAGGGCUUUUGUGGUGCUGCGUCAUAACAUGGCAGAGAAGGUCAAAGCGUAAGUGGACACGAGCAAAGAGAAGAUCAGAGGGGCCUCCUGGCUUUGUAACAAACCACUCUCAUGGGACUAUUCCAUUCCCUGGAGAACUAAUUCAGUCUUUCCAGAGUGAGACCUCACUACCAUGAGAACAGCACCAGGCCGUUCAUGAGGGAUCUGCAUCAGUGAUUCCAACACCUCCCACUAGGCCCCACCACCCAACACUACCACACUGGGGACCAAAUUUCAUCAUGGGCUUGGUGGGGAAAAGCCAACCAUACCCACACCAUAGCACCAGCCUGGGACCCAAAUGCACCAAAAAAGGGAAUGAGAAAGCCUAGAACUGAACCAUCCAGCAGUCAGAUACCAAAGAGAUCCAAAAAGUUAAACAAUCAUGAAGAAAAAGCGUUGAGAGGGUGAGACCUCAGGCAAGUUGAAGGCCAACAGCUGGCACCAAUGUGGGAAGAUGAAGCCUUGCAUAAACAUAAGCCCAAUCGUUAUUUCUCAUGUAAGGACUUGGUAAUUAGAAAAAGUGCAAAGAUGGUCCAAACCUCCUAGAUGAUGCUUUCUUGCAGGGUGAACUUUGGUAAACACUGGGGGAUGGAGGAGAGAGGAAUCUGCCUUCCAGGCUUGUCAGGUUUGCUCUUAAUCAUCCUGAGAACACAGGGUCUAAUGGAGCAUCUGUUGGUCGUCUGCAUGGCUGUGAUAUUUUACUUUAUCAUUUCCACCUACCACUUUUAUAAGUAUUUUUAUUCUCCAUAAAACAGGCUUUUAAGAGCAUUUACAAAUUAAUCACAUUAAAGACUUAUUAUCUGUUCUCUUAUGAUACACCUAUUUUGAUAUGGUGUGAAGAUAAUUGUUAUAAUCUCUAUUAAUUACAUACUGGCAUUCAUUAAAUAUGAAAAUGUUCAAUUGUUUGAAAGAAAAUGACUGGCCUUUUUGAACAUUAAAGAGUAUUCUGUUUUAUUGCAUUUUUACACGAAAUGAUUAGGCAAAAAGUUUUUACUAGACAUUAGUAUUUUUAUUUAUUAAAUUUCAGUCCCCUUAGAAGAACUCAAGGUAUUAGCCAAUUGAAUUCAAACUUGUACCACUUAAAGAUACAAAUGUAAAUAAUCUGAGAAGGGAAAAACUAAGUAUAGAGGGGGAGAGUAGAGAAAAGGCAGUAACACAUUUAGACUUGAGGCAAGAACAGGUGUUUUUGUCUUAAGACACCAGCAGGGCUAGGCACUCGAUAGAUGCUCUCCAACCAUUCGUGGUCCAGCGGAGUGAAUUGAAGAGUGGGUUGGCAGUGUUGGGCGGGAGAGCAGCAAAGGUUCCUUCCCUGGCAAACCUGAGGAGGAGGAAGAGGAGAAGCAGCUGCCAUGGCCACGUGGGAAGAAGAGUCAGGGACAGGCAGAGGGAGGUGCAGGGAGCCCCUGGGAGACAGGAGCUGCAUCACAGCAGUCAAACACGAAUUCAGCUCUGCCAGGGGCCCAGAACCCUGUCUGCUAGUUUGCCUGAGAUCAAGAAUGUGUGCAGAAAAUUCCAGAAAAUGCAAGCAAAAAAUUAAACAGAAUCAACUUUGUAGCCACCACCCCAAAUAAUUAAACAAUAUUUUAAAAGCAAGUAACAUUUUAUGACUUUUAAAAGGCAUUAAAUUACAUUUGUUGGAAGGGGGAUUAAUUGCAGCAGAGUACGGCCGCUUUGCAAUGACAAAUGAAAACCCCACGUAGGGCUUGAUGCAGAGUAGAUGUAAUAGGGAGCUGCUGAAGUGAUGUGACUUUGGGGAUGCGGGGAAAUCCCCUUUACUUAGAAAAAAAUGACCUUUAUUUAUACACACAUGUGCAAGUGUGAACGCACAAUCAUUCACUACACAAUGAUUUUCCAUUAUUUUAAACUAAACAAUGACUUAUUUUUCUGUCGAAGUGAAAAGGCCCCUUGCAUGUCACCUGGAAAAGAAGGAGGGCAUUCAAGGAAGGUUUGGGGAACUUUGUUACGCGUAGGGAAAAAAACAAAAAUUUGUAUCACUACCUCACACCAUCAAUUCCUAAUAGUUUGUGUGGAAGGCAAUAUAUUAAAACUCCAAAACGAUAAGUGAAUACCUUUAUGAUUCUGGGAAUGAAAUAACAUCUUAAGAACUAAAAGCAUUACCCACAAAAGAAAUUAUCGUUAAACUUGACCCUAUUACAAUUAAGAACUUCUGCUCAUUAAAUAAUAGCAUUAAAAAGGUGAAAUUGCAAGACAAAUAUUGGGAAAAGACACUUGCAACACCAAUAACCAACAAGGGAUUUGGACCUAGAAUACAUAAAGGACUCUUAAAAUCAAUUUCUAAAAAAGACAAUCUAAUUUUAAAAAAUUUAAUUAAAAAAAAUUGGGCAACAAAUACAAGCAAGAAUUUCAUAGAGGAAAAAACUCCAGUGGUCAGUGGAAAUAUGAAAAGAUGCUCAACCUCCUUACAAACAUAAGUUUAAACUACAGUGAUACAAUUUAAAAGUUGGUGAGGAUAUAGAUAAUGGAAACCCUUACCCGUUAUUGAUGGCAAAGUAAAUUGCCUCAACAGCUUUGGAGAACAAUCAGGCACUGUGUAUUCAGUAAAGCAAAACACUUGUGUAGCCCACGGGCAGCACCUCCACUCUUAGGCGUGUUCAUUAUAGAAACUUGCAUGCAUCUGGGCACCAGGAACUGUGCUCGGGGAAGUCCAGAGCAGCUUUGGAGACAGCCCAGAAGUCAUUAUAGAGAAAAAUGGAAUAUUAUACAGAAGUGAAGAUGGCUAUGCCUACAUACUAUAGAGCAUGGAUGAAUUUUAGAAACAAAAUACUGAAUGAAAAUAAACAUGUAGGCCAGGCGCGGUGGCUCACGCCUGUAAUCCCAGCACUUUGGGAUGCUGAGACGGGUGGAUCACGAGGUCAGGAGAUCGAAACCAUCCUGGCUAACACGGUGACACCCCGUCUCUACUAAAAAUACAAAAAAUUAGCCGGGCGUGAUGGUGGGCACCUGUAGUCCCAGCUACUCGGGAGAGGCAGGAGAACAGCAUGAACCUGGGAGGCAGAGAUUGUAGUGAACUGAGAUCGCGCCACUGCACUCCAGCCUGGGUGACAGAGUGAGACUCCGUCUCAAAAAAUAAUAAUAAAAAUUAAAAAUUGAAAAUAAACAUGUAGCAAAAAUGAAAAAAAAAAGUGGCCUUUUUAAUUUAAACCCCAAACCAAGCAAAGCUAAGUAAUGUAUCAUUCUUGAGAUAGGCACAUAUAUAUGUGCUAAAAUUAUUUUUUUAAAGGAGGUAAUGAUUAACCCAAAAUUUCAGUGAUGGAGGCCCUCUAGGGGGCAGAGGCAGGAGGCAGUGUUGGGAGGAGCAGGCCAGCAGACACCAUGGUGUCGGUAGGUAACCUUCCAAUUCCGGACUUGAUGACUGGCUCACGAGUGAUCCGUUAUGAUGCUUUAUGAUGUACCUCUGUGUGUUAGAUGUAGAUUGUUUUGUAUGUUUUAAAUAUUCCAUAAUUAACAAUUAAAUGUAAAUACCCUGGGGGAGAUCAGCCGCGGAUCUUAUCUGUCCAUUCGGCUUCAGAGUGGUUUUGCUCAGCCAGCAUUUUCCCCCCAAGAGGGUUUGAAGCCACAGGAGAGACGUUCAUAUAUUUAACAGAGUUCACCAUUUGACCAUCUUGCUUAGGAUAACUCAGAGUCUGUCUGUCCUUCCUAGAGAUGGGCCACUACUGACUGCAAAGACGAGAUUCCCUCUGUUUUCACAUGUGUGGAAUCAUCAGGGUUUUUGUUGAGUGCCCUUGUUAGGGCCAGUUCCUUGGAAAAGGGUCCUAUAGGAAAACCUAACCACGACCAAAGCGGAGAAGAAUCAUUCACCUCGCCCCUCAGAGCGCUCAGCCCACUGCACCCCGAUGCUCCCGUGAUCUUUGUCUGUUCUCCCUCAAAGCCACCUCAAAUAAACAUUCUAGAAAAGAAGCAUUCUUGCCACCCAAAUGCAACUUCAAAUCCACUUUCCAUCCAGGUGACUGCCCCAUCUCCUCUUCCCAGCUACUCUGCCCCGCCCCUAUCAAUGCCAGCCCCGCAGAGCAAAGCUGAGAUUCGUCCGGGAUGCUGUUCUCAGUAGACAAGCAUGGAGUGCCAGGUAUUAAUACUGGCUUUGAAGAUCACAGGGAAGCAGGGCCAGAUUCUCCUCGCCCUCACUUUACAAUUCCCUCCUCCUCAGUUUUAAAGUGAAGAGAAAGAGGGACAUGACACAACAAACAUGCAUGUGUAAUUUUGUUGCACUUGUCUGUGCAAUUUCCAGGAAGAGAAAAGCUUCCUGGAAAGCAGGCAGGCGAUUUCAGUCCUGAGGCUGAUGUGGUCUCACUCAGGCAACGGUUUCACCCUCCCGGGCCUCAGUUGCACCAUCUCUAAAACAGAAUGGCAUUUGCCUUGCCACCCUCCUCUCUGCUCUGUGGCCCUCACUGAGCUUCUCAAGGGUCAAGGACCAGACCUCCUUGAUUUCUGUCAGGGCUGAAUGCAGUGCCCAGGAGGGAUGGAAAGAGAAAAGAGGAACGAAGAGAAGGAGAGAGGAGAGGGUGGGAGGCGGUUCAGUUGCAGCACUGUUGAAGAGCAUAAUACGGAGAAACUUUUGUGAACUUUGGAGAGUGUUCUGCAAAUGUAAGUGAUGAAUGCCAUUAUUAAGGUCAUUUACUGCUAAUGAUCGGCAUAUGCAUAUCAAAAACAGCUCCCAGCUCUGUAAGGCAUUAGAGUGAAAGCAAGCAAUUUUUUAAUGAAACAUUUAUUUGCCUUCUUUUACUGCAGUGCUUUGAUUUAAUCGAAAUAAGCAAAAAUGGCCAAUGAUUAUAUCAACUUCUGAACUUGUUGAAUCUACUUGGAUGUUACUGUAACCCCCUAGGAGAAAAGGGAAGCAGAAAUACUAUGUAUUAAUGUUCUUAAAUUUUCUUACACUUGUAACCCUUUUUUACUUUAGAAAAGUUUAAAUGUGUAUUAUACAUAUGCAUAAUUAAUAAGGAACAGCUGCUUGAUUGAUAUAAUUAACCACAGUCAAUCUAAAAAUAAGUUUAUUUAAAUUAGUGUGAACUUCAUAGCUAAAAAUAUUUGUGAAGAAACAGUUUGGCUAUUUUUUUUCUCAUCAAAUGGGAUGUUUGAAAAUAAUAAAUAAAAGCAGCUCAAUACUAUUGGUUACUUUCUCCUAUUUCUUCUUGAACAUACCAAUCGAAUAAAAUCACUUGAAAACUCUGGCAAUGUUGAAGCUGAUUAAAUUUAUUAUUCAAGUUGAAUUCCAUAAGAAUACGAAACAAUCCGUUUCUGGAAGUAAUUCAGUUACUGGCCAUUUUUUUCUCACUGAAAAGUAUAAGUUUUGAGCUCUAAUACAAGUUCCAAGUUUAAUAUCAAUUAAUUGUGUAUUUUUGCUAUCUAUGAGCUUUAUAGGUGUACUUUAAUAACUGGCUUUAAAAGAUAAACCAAAAAAGAUUAAUUGCUUAAGCAAAAUGGUUUGUUUUCAAUUAGUGUCAUCCUUUCUGUUAAUCGGAGACAGGUUAAUAAAACAUGGGUCAGUAACACUACGACUUUUUUCCCCCAACAUCCCCGAAAUAAAAUUUGUUGUUCCAUUAGGAAAAUGUAAGCGGUGCAUUAUCUUUUCCUCAAGUGCUUAAGCGUUAUGUCCUGUGAUGGAUGGGUACGACAGGCAGUGGCGGGGUGGGCAAAGGAAGUGGGCAGGCUUGUUUCCAGCUGAUGACCUUUGAAAAGUUCACGACCAGCAAACAUUCAUCCUGCUGCCAAAAUAGCGGAUGAUUUCAAAGUCAUGGUGUUAAGCGGGUUGCUAAGGAAGUGUUACGGUGGAGGCUAUUGUGUAGCUGAAGUGGUUGUUAUGGCCACUCUGCAUGUUAGAAAAAUGUCAAUUACUCUGAAGAGGUUGGCAAUGCUACCUGGCAUCCGCUCCACAAUGGUGAUUAUGAUAUCACCGUUCUUGUUGUAGCAACAAGCCAGUCUCUGAAAUGUUUUCCAGAGGUUUGCAUUUGUUGACUCCAUUGACUAUUUUCUUGAUAAUGUAGCUGGGAUAAACUAGAAAACAAGUUUCCCCACGGUCAGCUGGAAAUACUCAUAUUGCACUUGGACGGAGCAGAUUGUUUCUGAAGAGGGCCAGUGAUGAGCACCAGUUCCCUCCUUGCCCAGGCCAACAGCGUUUCACAGGACCCCUGGGCUCGUCCUGAUGGUUCUCUUCCAAACGAUGAUCUAGAAAGAUGCCCCGUGUUAAGCUGCUUGCCUUUCGAAGGUCUUCAAAUCAUUGUUCCUCCAUAUCAUAUUCAGAGCUAGUGCUUUCAUGCUGAUGUGGAAACAUCUAAGAGGACUCAUAAUGUCAACAUGCAUUUCCCCAAUAAGUAAACAAGAGAAAUGACACUGACAAGAACAAGAAAUGAUUAUUUCUUCUGCCAAAGUUGGAAGCGACCAGAUACGGAUGUGCGUAUUUUAAGAUCAUAGUUUGUGCUGUUGGAGUAGGAAUAAGUAAAAGCUCUUUAAUUUGAAUCUGAAUAGAAAAUGAAAAUUCAAAGGGAUCCUUGCUUCACAGAUCAUUUCGGCAAUCUAUUUUUUAAAAAUAAUUCAGCAUAAGGAAAUGGUAAAAAUGAGUUUGUUGAAAGAAUCAAUUAUCUAUGGAUUAUAUUUUAAACACUCACUGGUAACUGAUUUCUACGAAAAGGAUGCCCAGCCAGGAGUCUCUGCAUUUUGCAGGGAAUGGAGGCUGUUAGUCCAUUUCCUAAUGUGUACUUCCAAAUGCUACAUUGUUGCUGCUUCUACACUAUUCUGUCUUUCAGAUUUUUCACUCUAUCUCUUCCUUGCUCCCCCACCCCGCCUCCAAAUCAACGGGCAUAAACUUUCCUCACUUCCGCCCCUAAAUUUGUUUUCUCAGCUAGAUGUAUUUGGAAAAUAAAGUACUAAUUAAAAUAUACAAUGACAAUAAUCAUCAUCGUGGGACCAUAGAGUUCGGAAGGGCCCCGGAGGUCACGCAGGCCUCAUUUUUACAGAUGAAGAGAUAGCCCCGGUUGGGCAACUGGCCCUGGGAGCUGAUAAUGACCCCAUGGCAACGCGGGCCCUGGACACAGGAGAGGAGAGAAGGCCAGAGCGCGGAGGCCCUAGGACGCCGCAUGGAGAACAUUGGAGGUGAUGUCUACAACAGGCACUAGGAAACAAUGGGGCUUGGAAGGAGGAGGGAAAGUGUCAGGAUUUCUCCUUCAAUGUUUUAGGACUUUAUAAGCCCUAAGAAUUUAGGGCUUUACUCUCUCAUAUAGUAAAAAUCUAGCAUUUAGCCUGUUGCAUUUAAUAACUGACAUGCAUCCCAUUUCAACACUGAAAAUAAUCCCCAUAAUGUUGAGUUUUUGUCAAUACUGUAGUUUCCUUGUCAGGCUUUCCUCAAAAAUACAAUGCUUUAUUCUUUGUACUUGCCGGUGGGGCUAAAAACACUUUGUAUUGUUUAAAUAAGGUAUUAUCAGAGUUAAACACUAUUUUAGUUUCACGGAAAUACGAAUUUUUUAAGGUGAAUCUUUUAAAGAAGCAUUUCAAACACAGCAAAAGACAGGGUGGUGAAAAGACUGACCUUCAGGUGGGGCAGCAAGGAGGUUAAGUGCUGAUGAGCCUGCCAAGGGAAGACCAACCCCCACCCCAGCCAGAGCCUUCUGGUACCCCGGUCUCUCUGGCCUGUCUUCCCCUCAUGCAGCCAGCUGUGCAUCACACCACGUAGGCCAGGGCGGCUCAUCCGCCCCACAGGCCACUUAGCAUUCAUCCAAAAUGUCGCUGUGGUUAGUUCUCGUGUAGGCAGAGGUGAGAUAGUCCCCAGACUUCCCAAUCCUGCCAUCCAGCUUCCAACCUAAAGCCUGAAUGACUUGAAGACAUAGCAGGGCUUUUCAUUUUUGCUUUCUGUUUUGCAUGCUUUUUUUUUUUUUUUUUAUCUUGUUAAACUGGAGAUUUGACAGAAGUGAAAUAAGGAUUUUGGAGUGGAUUUUUCUGGCCAUUUUUGCAAAUGUGUUAUUUAUUUUACUUAGAGAAUUGUUGAGGAAUGUGCGCUUUGAGGAAAGAAGUUUGAUUUUCUGUGUCCUUCCCAGGUGUCUUCUCUUUGGGUCUUGCCUCCAAAUCAGAACCCGGUUGUUGGCCGUGUGAGCCCUGGGUGACUCUGGUUAUAUUGGAACAAUGCAAAUGUCUGUAGGGCUCAUGUGAGCAGGAGCCCCGAGCUGGAAGGACAUUUCACAGGGCAGUGUCUCUGUGUAGUUGAGAGGUUGAUACCCUGUGUCAUUAGGUGGAGUCCAACCAGAUGUUGUUUCUGGGCCCCCAGGGUUCUACAUAAGGAAACAAAAUGAAGUCAGUCCAGAUUUCACUUUUUAAAAAACUAUAUAAUUCCAUAGCGCCCACGGUAGGCUCUCUGCAUCUCUUUAUGAUUUAAUAAACAGAGGCAGAGACUAUUUGGUGCCCUUUCUUUCAGCCAUUGGUUGCUCAAGGCACAACACAUAAAAAUAUGAACAAAACAUGGGCUCUGCCCUGAAAGCCUCAUUCUCUAAAUCCAGUCCUGCAAUGGCAGUAACUGUCACUGUGGGCAAAGAGGGAUGGAGCUCCGUCCCACCGGGGAAUGGUGGCUGGGAGCCAGAGGGACAGGAGGGGUCCCAGAAAAGAUACCGUUUACAGGAUGAAUGGGGGGACAAUGGCCGGGUGGAGGCGCAGUGUGCCCACGUGCAAGGUGGCCCCGGGAGCACCUGGGGACAGGCCAGCGAAGCCUCCAAGUGCUCUUUUCUCUUGUAGGUGAAGUCUUGACCUCAAAUGGUUCGAGAGUGAAAUGACACACCUGUGUUUUAGAGACCUCACUGGGUUUAGAGACCAGCUUGAAGGUUAAUGCCCAUUUUUAGAGCAGAGAUGAUGAGGCCUGAGCCUGGCAGAUGACUCUCCCGGGAGGAGGGAGGCGUUCUUGAGUCGCUCCCCAGGCAGAAUGGAGGGCUGCGGGCUGAUGCAAAGGAAGGCAAGUAGCAGUCCAGGCUGGCUCCAGUGUUUCUGGGGUGGAAUUUCAGGGCAUGUCUCCAAGAUCUUACAAUUUACAUCACUUCUUGAAUAAAAGAUUACCUCCUAUACAUAAAAGACUGUAUAUAGGGAACAUCCUGGAAGGAUCUAAAGAAAAAUGUUUUAUUUAUGAAGUGGAUAUGGAGGUUGGAAGUCAGGAGGGAGAUUUUUAGUUUCCAUUUAACACCUUUCUGCUUAUCUGAUUUCUCUUUCUUUCUUUCUUUCUUUCUUUCUUUUUUUUAAAAAAGAUGUUAUUCUACAAUUCCUAAGUUGCAGAGUACUGGGAAAUGUGACAUCAUUUGAUUUGAUGCUUUUUGAUCCACUGUAAGAGAAACUUCAUGGAACUCAUAUGUAGUCCUGAGAAGACCUAACUCCUUUUUUUAUUUUUUGCCCUUUUGCAUUAGAUUUACUUUCGUUUGUUUGUUUUCAUUUGGUAAUAUUUGCACUUCUGUACUUAGGACUAGAGACGGAAGCUAGGUCUUGCCAGGACUUUUCUUAGAGCAGAGCAUCUGUUUUCUUGAGAUGUUAGUACAUCUGUCUUGAGGUGUUAAUACUUUCCUUUUCAGGAAUUACAUUAUAAAAGAAAAUGAAAAUUACUUAAUGGAUUAAGGGUGGUAUUUAUAGCUAUAAGGUACUUAUAUCUAAGAGUAUCUUCCAAGUCUUUAGAUAUUAUAUUGUAUAAUUUAUUUUAUUUGUAUUGUACACAGAAAGUCACUAAGGCUAACUUGCCAGGUAAGUGGGCAGCUUAGUUCUCAAAAUGGAGCACCAAUGCCCUCUCUCUGCUCUAUUCCAUGUUGUAAAAUGCCUAAUAACUUUGGUUUAGAUGCCAGACACUGUGCCUUUGUUCGCGGGCAAUUUUGCUAAUGUUUUCCAUUUCUAUCUGCAUGUCAUUUCCAUGAUUUUGUGCUUUCCAAGAUUUUCACAGGGUAGAAAAAAACUAUUAGCAAUUAAACUUUUGUUGAAUUUUAGUUCCGUGCUUGGCAGAGUGUAGGAUGUGUGCAGCCAGAAGUCUGCAUACAUUCUUUUCUUUGGCAGACAAAGAGGAAGUGAUUCUAGCCAUAUGCAUCACUGUUUAAAUUCACCAAUACAAAUUGCUCCAAGAGCUAUACCCCAACUUUUCACUAUUUUUCAAAAUAGGUUAUAAUUUCAAUAGACUACCUACUCUAUAGUUCGUGUUGUUAUUGUCACUGUUUUAAGCAAAUUACUGGCUACCAGAUAACACAGAGUCACUAUAAAGCUGUGCUGUCCACCACAGCAGCCACCAGCUACAUGUGGUUAUUUAACUUAAUUAAAAUUAGAUGACAUGAAAAAUUUAGUUCCUCAGCUGUUCCAGCCACGCAGUAAGUACUCAAUGGCUCUGUGUGGCUAAUGACCACUGUUCUGGACAGCACCAUACUAGAACAUUCCAUCCCCACAGGAAAUUCUAAUGGACAGUGUUGGUCUAGAAUAUGCAUAUUUCAUAAGCAGAGUUGAAAUGGAAAAGCUUCUGAUACACUUUGUAAAGUGUAAUAAGAGCAAAGAUGCAGUUUCAUGGAUGUUCUCUGUAGAAUAGAAUAUAGACUAGUCAUAAAAACUUCACAUUUUGAAAGUAGGCACGUUUUACCAUUUUCACUUUAAAGUGUAAAUAAUUGACUUUGCGGCGCUCGAUGCUCUGGUCCAUUUUGCUUGGCUUUCUUUUAGACAAAGAGAGGAAAGUUAGAGAAUAACAAAGAUGAUUACGAUCACCAAGUUCCUCUUAUUUAAUACUGCAAGAUUUGACUCAAAUUUAGGGGCAGUGCUGCUUUGUGUGGAGUUACAAAGUUAAAUGCCCUUAAAUGACAUUCAGGGAAAAGUGAUUUAAGAGGCCAAUCUUGAUUUCCUGCCUUUCUUCCUAGUAUUCUUUGAAUUUCCAACCCUAGAUUAUCCUAAUUUUUUAAAAAAUAUAUGAUACAUUAAACUUCAGAAGUGCUUAGAAAUACCAUAUGAUAGGAUUCUUCCUGUAGGUGUUCAAACGUUAUUAAACAUAUUGGAUAAUCUUUGAUUUCCCUAUAAAUGCGAAAAAUUCUAAGGAACAUUUAUUUUAAGUGAAGGACACUUAAAAUAAAUUACUACCUAACGUUUUACACAAAAGUUACUCAAAAUAGAUCAAAGGCCUAAAUGUAAAAUCUAAAAGUAAAACUCUUAGAAGAAAACCUAUGUGUAUAUCUUCAGGACCUCAGAUUGCCCAGUGGUUUCUUAGAUAUGACACUUAAAGCACAAGCAACAACAGAAAAAAAAAAAUAGACAAACUGGACUUCAUCAAAAUUAAAAGCCAAGGAUGCUAUCAAGAAAGUGAAAAAGCAGCCCAUGGGAUGGGAGAAAAUACUUGCAAAUCAUCUAUCUGAUAUGGGUCUAGUGUACAAAAUAUAUAAAGAGCUUUUACAACUCAACAAUAAAAAGGCAAAUAACGCAAUUUACAAAAAAAUGUGCAAAGGAUCUGAAUAGACGUUUCUCUAAAGAAGACGUACAAAUGGCCAAUAGGCACAUGAAAAAGUGCUCAACAUCAUCAGUCUUUAGGCAAAUACAAAUCAAAACCACAAUUAGGUCCCACUCUACCACCACUAGGAUGGUUUUUAAAAAAACACAAAAAACGCAGACAACAAGGUGUGCUGGCAAAGAUGUGGAGAAAUUAGAACCCUCAUGCAUUGCAGUGAGAAUUUAAAAAUGGUGCAGCCACUUUGGAAAACAGUUUUGCAAUUCCUCAAAAAAUUAAACAUAGAGAGAGUGAAUGACCCAGCAAUUCCACUACGAGAUAUAUCCAGAAGAUACAUUCACACAGACACGAGGAUUUGAAUGUUCGUAGCAGCAUUACUAAUAAUAGUCCAAAGUGGAAAAAAAUCCAAAUGUCUAUCAAAUAAUGAGUAGAUAAACAAAAUAUAUCCAUAGAAUGGAAUACUAUUCCAACAUAAAAAGGAAUGCAAUUCUGACACAUGCCACAGCAUCGAUGACUCUUGAGAACAUUAUGCUAAGAGAGAGAAGCCAGUCAAAGAGGUCCACACAUUGCUUGAUUCUACUUAUAUGAAGUGCAUGGAAUAUGAAGGCAAACUAUAGAGACAGAAAGGAGGCUAGUGGUUGCCAGGGACAGGGUGCAGGAGGAAUGGAGUGUGGCUGCUAACGGAUGUGGAGUUCCCCUUGGGGUUUAUGAAAAUGUUCUUGAAUUACAGAGUGGUGAUGAUUGCACAACCUUGUGAAGAUACGAAAAACCCCUGAAUUGUGUACUUUUAAAGGAUGAAUUUUAUGGUAUAUGUAUUAAAUCUCAAUGAAAUAUUUUUAAAACAAGUAUACAUUUACAUAAACAACUCUUGGUUGCUCUCUUUAGUCCCCUAGUCUAACAAUAAGUACUUUUUUUCAGUGCCACCUGACCCAGUCUUUUAGGGAACUUAAGGCAAAGCAAAAAACAAAAAUCUGAUUAGAACAAGUGUCCAAGUGAAAAGAUAGUAGCAAAAUCCAAAAGCCCGUUUUUUUAAUAUAGAAGCACAAGAAAGCAUCUCUGUUCAUUUUAGCUAAAGGUAUAAAUGAGAAGUCAAGCCUGUUAUUUGUGGGCCAGAAAAUUCAAUUAUAAAAAAAUGGAAAGUUUGAAAGACUCAAGUAGUUAGCAUCUCUUUUUGUCAAAAUCUUCUGUUAUAUAAUCUUCAAAUGGCUAUUGAUAUAAAAAAGCUCUGUGCCACCUAGGAUUUUCAUGCCUCCAAAGUUUUACAUAAAUGGAAUGGUUCUAAGUACAUGGCAAACUACUAAACACAUUUAUUACAA